UACAUGGGGUGCAAACGUUGCUCGGAAUUAUUGGGCGUAAAGCGCGCGUAGGCGGUUACUUAAGUCUGAUGUGAAAGCCCUCGGCUUAACUGAGGAAGUGCACCCGAAACUGAGUAGCUAGAGUACGAAAGAGGGUCGCGGAAUUCCCGGUGUAGAGGUGAAAUUCGUAGAUAUCGGGAGGAACACCGGUGGCGAAGGCGGCGAGCUGGGUCGAGACUGACGCUGAGGCGCGAAAGCGUGGGGAGCAAACAGG
RNAcentral lists this ribosomal RNA (253 nucleotides) under uncultured bacterium. Its description in RNAcentral is "partial 16S ribosomal RNA". It matches the Rfam family "Bacterial small subunit ribosomal RNA", at positions 524 to 776 of the family's 1533-position model. The record is from RNAcentral.